RNAcentral lists this ribosomal RNA (484 nucleotides) under uncultured bacterium. RNAcentral's name for it is "partial 16S ribosomal RNA". It matches the Rfam family "Bacterial small subunit ribosomal RNA", at positions 30 to 507 of the family's 1533-position model. The record is from RNAcentral.
AUUGAACGCUGGCGGCAGGCCUAACACAUGCAAGUCGAGCGGAAGAAGGGUGCUUGCUUGUGGAUCCAGCGGCGGAAGGGUGAGUAUUGCCUAGGAAUCUCCCUGGCAGUGGGGGAUAAUGUCCGGAAACGGGUGCUAAUACUGCAUACGCCCAGAGGGAGAAAGUGGGGGAUCUUCGGAACUUACGCUCUCAGAUGAGUGUAGGCCGGACUUGCUAGUUUGUGGGGUAAAGGGUUACCAAGCCGACGAUCCGUAACUGGUCUGGGGGGAUGAUCAGUCCCACUGGAAGUGAAACGCGGUCCAGGCUCCUAAGGGAAGCAGCAGUCGGGAAUGUUAGGCAGUUGGCGGAAACCUUGUCCAACCAUGCCGCGUGUGUUGAAGAAGUCUUCGGAGUGGAAAGCACUUUUUGUUGGGAGAAAAGGCAGUAAGUUGAUACCUUGCUGGUUUGACGGUACCAACAAAAUAAGCACCGGCUAACUUCGUG